Molecule: transfer RNA, 78 nt
Filed under: Streptomyces sp. Root1295
Lineage: Bacteria; Bacillati; Actinomycetota; Actinomycetes; Kitasatosporales; Streptomycetaceae
Also listed under: 1 other name
Description: tRNA-Met
Rfam family: tRNA
About the family: Transfer RNA (tRNA) molecules are approximately 80 nucleotides in length. Their secondary structure includes four short double-helical elements and three loops (D, anti-codon, and T loops). Further hydrogen bonds mediate the characteristic L-shaped molecular structure. tRNAs have two regions of fundamental functional importance: the anti-codon, which is responsible for specific mRNA codon recognition, and the 3' end, to which the tRNAs corresponding amino acid is attached (by aminoacyl-tRNA synthetases). tRNAs cope with the degeneracy of the genetic code in two manners: having more than one tRNA (with a specific anti-codon) for a particular amino acid; and 'wobble' base-pairing, i.e. permitting non-standard base-pairing at the 3rd anti-codon position.
Source: RNAcentral
UCCCCAGUAGCUCAGUUGGCCGAGAGCGCGCCUCUCAUACGGGCGAGGUCACUGGUUCAAAUCCAGUCUGGGGGACUA